UAUUAGGUUGGUGCAAAAGUAAUUGCAGUUUUGGGGAUUACUUUGCUGGCAAAAACUGCAAUUACUUUUCCACCAACCUUAUA
MicroRNA precursor from Gorilla gorilla gorilla (western lowland gorilla), 83 nucleotides. Lineage: Eukaryota; Metazoa; Chordata; Mammalia; Primates; Hominidae. The record is from Ensembl.